UUGUGGAGGAGGACGCCGAAGGUGGGGCUGAUGACUGGGGUGAAGUCGUAACAAGGUAGCCGUACCGGAAGGUGCGGCUGGAUCACCUCCUAACAGGGAGACAACAAAAGAUCAUGAUGUCUGAGUAAAUUAUUCUUAGUCCACGAUCCUGUCACCUUAGGUCGAUCGGUACCUCAAUAUUGAUGCAAAAGACUGGAUAGAGCAAUCAGUCUAGUCUUAUGUAUAGUUUUCAGUUCCUAAACUUGUCUAGGUCACACCCAGCAAGGGUAAUCCUGGGCCAUUAGCUCAGGUGGUUAGAGCGCACCCCUGAUAAGGGUGAGGUCCCUGGUUCAAGUCCAGGAUGGCCCAUUCGAUGUUGGGGGUAUAGCUCAGUUGGUAGAGCGCCUGCUUUGCAAGCAGGAUGUCAGCGGUUCGAGUCCGCUUACCUCCACUGAUCCAACUCCUGAUGACGAAACCCAAGGAUAUUUGUGUUGAUGUGAUCUAGCAUAUGUUCUUAAAUGAAUGAACCUAGCUUCUUGUCAUUCCUCAAAAAAUAGUUUUUUGUAUGGCUGAAAGGACGCUGGGCUCACUUCAUUCUUUAUUAGGAAUGAAGAGAUGUUCAGCAGAACCUUGACAACUGCAUAGUGAGUCUGGAAAAAGAAAAAGCAUCUCAUAGAUGCAUUGUUUUCCUUAAGUUCUUUGCCACCGGCAAUAGAACUUUGAAAGACAAUGUUUUUUAUUGAGUAAGAGUAGAAAAUCUAAGGUUUUUUUACUAAUUUCUUGAAAUUCUUUUUAAGGAUUAAGUAUAAGACUUUAGAUUAUUAAUUUUGGUCAAGCUACAAA
This 822-nucleotide unclassified non-coding RNA is filed under the name uncultured Prochlorococcus sp. RNAcentral's name for it is "partial 16S-23S ribosomal RNA intergenic spacer; may also contain 16S ribosomal RNA and 23S ribosomal RNA". The stretch from base 1 to 93 matches the Rfam family "Bacterial small subunit ribosomal RNA", at positions 1441 to 1533 of the family's 1533-position model. Lineage: Bacteria; Bacillati; Cyanobacteriota; Cyanophyceae; Synechococcales; Prochlorococcaceae. The record is from RNAcentral.